GACGAACGCUGGCGGCGUGCUUAACACAUGCAAGUCGAACGGAAAGACCCUGCUUUUGUGGGGUGCUCGAGUGGCGAACGGUUUAGUAACACGUUAGUAACCUGCCCUUGACUUUGGGAUAACUUCAGGAAACUGGGGCUAAUACCGGAUAGGAGCUCCUGCUUCAUGGUGGGGGUUGGAAAGUUUCGGCGGUUGGGGAUGGACUCGCGGCUUAUCAGCUUGUUGGUGGGGUAGUGGCUUACCAAGGCUUUGACGGGUAGCCGGCCUGAGAGGGUGACCGGCAACAUUGGGACUGAGAUACGGCCCAGACUCCGACGGGAGGCAGCAGUGGGGAAUAUUGCAAAAUGGGCGGAAGCCUGAUGCAGCAACGCCGCGUGCGGGAUGACGGCCUUCGGGUUGUAAACCGCUGUCGCCUGUGACGAAGCGUGAGUGACGGUAAUGUGUAAAGAAGCACCGGCUAACUACGUG
Molecule: ribosomal RNA, 468 nt
Filed under: uncultured bacterium
Lineage: Bacteria
Description: partial 16S ribosomal RNA
Rfam family: Bacterial small subunit ribosomal RNA
Source: RNAcentral